This 306-nucleotide ribosomal RNA is filed under the name Triticum aestivum (bread wheat). RNAcentral's name for it is "partial small subunit ribosomal RNA". Lineage: Eukaryota; Viridiplantae; Streptophyta; Magnoliopsida; Poales; Poaceae. The record is from RNAcentral.
AUGGUAGCCUCUAACACCUCAAGAUCUGUGUCAUUUCUCCUCAAAACCAUGUCAGCGACUUUGGAGACGAAGUCCCCAUUCUCCUGCCUAUCCUCAAGGAACAUGCGCAAGACAUCCUCCCCGAGGCUGUCACCAGCUGUCAAUUCCAACAAUGAGGCCACGGGAUUAGUACGAAAGAACAAAUGCCGAACCAUCUUGGUUGUAUGGCUUGAAGCCUUGAAUAAUUCUUCUCUUCAUAGCAUGGAUUUAAAUACACCAACGCAUGGAGAAAAAUGUGUUCAAAAUCAGAAUGAUGUGGUGGAGUAA